UCCGUCGUGGUGUAAUGGUUAGCAUCAGCCGCUCUCAUGAGCAAGCUACCGGCUAGAUCCGGGUUCAAUUCCCGGCGACGGAA
This is a non-coding RNA of Tuber brumale (winter truffle), 83 nucleotides long. Lineage: Eukaryota; Fungi; Ascomycota; Pezizomycetes; Pezizales; Tuberaceae. The record is from the annotation of a GenBank genome assembly.